GACAGAGGGUGCGAACGUUGUUCGGAAUUACUGGGCGUAAAGCGUGCGCAGGCGGUCUGCUAAGAGAGGUGUGAAAUCCCCGGGCUUAACCUGGGAACUGCGCUUCUAACUGGCAGGCUUGAGUGUGGCAGAGGGGGGUGGAAUUCCACGUGUAGCAGGUGAAAUGCGUAGAGAUGUGGAGGAACACCGAUGGCGAAGGCAGCCCCCUGGGCUA
RNAcentral lists this ribosomal RNA (214 nucleotides) under uncultured bacterium. RNAcentral's name for it is "partial 16S ribosomal RNA". It matches the Rfam family "Bacterial small subunit ribosomal RNA", at positions 524 to 736 of the family's 1533-position model. The record is from RNAcentral.